This 892-nucleotide long non-coding RNA is filed under the name Citrus maxima (pomelo). RNAcentral describes it as "long non-coding RNA (CMAX_LNC001118)". The record is from RNAcentral. Lineage: Eukaryota; Viridiplantae; Streptophyta; Magnoliopsida; Sapindales; Rutaceae.
UAUUGACCAAAAUUUCACGUUCCUUUAGUUUCAAAACAAAGCCCAUCACAGUACUUACGAGAAACAAAGUCUUCCAAAACUCAAGACCAGUAUUUGGAGGCUCCGCAAUUCUGGUAGUCGAUGAAAUCAACAUCAUCAACGACCCACAAGGCAGGGACAGAGUUGAACUCCACCAAGGAUAGGGAAGAUCAGCAACCCCGCCGUUGAUCGUUGCCGAAGAAGGAGAUCAGCCCGUGCUUGUGCCGCCGUUGAUCGUUGCCUAGGAACUCCUUCAGUCGCCGCCGUUAAUCAUUGCCGACUUGCGGCGCUGUUGAUGGCCGUGGUGAGGCGUUUGGCGUGUGAGUGAAGCGGGAGACAGUGGAGAUGGAGACGUGAGCUGAGGGUGAGCUGUGAUCGCGAGGUGAGGAGUGAGUGGUGAGGACUUUUUGUUUGUUUCAUUUACCGAUUUUACAGGCUCCCUUUCCUUGAAAAUUUUUUAUUAUUUAAUACUAAAAUGAAUCUCAGCCAUUGGACCCACUCCACUUAAUCCAACGGUAAUUUUUCAUGCAUGUAUCCGAUAUAUGCAGGUAUUGUAGCAUCAGCCGAUGAAAGUGCAUGAAGCGAGCAGGUGAUGAAGGGACGUUUCAGGCGGUUUCAACUUUCGUGCAUUAUUACUAACAACAAUAGUUAAGAAAGAUUAAUUAUUGUGGGGUGUGUGCUUAUGUAUGUAUAUAUUAGUGAAACAUUUAUUAUAAACAUAAAUUGAUAGUAUACAUAUAUAUUAUCAUGAGACACUAAGGAACGAGUUAGGUCGAGACUUGCCAAAAAUUAAAAAGAAAAAAAAUUAUAACAUUUAUAUUACCAGGCAAGUUCUAAUAGCAUUAAUAUUACACAAGCUAAAGUCAUAGUCAUC